AUGGACAAACAUCUGUCUCAAUGUCUUAGCUGCAGAAAAAGCCUGAUAGGAACAAGGAGGAUAAAUGAAUGCAGUGCAGCUCAGAGGAGCCAGUCAUGUUUAUGCCUGCUUCAGUUCUAUGACCAGUGAAAUGAGGAUGAUGAUGCUUGUUCCUCACCAAAGGUCCAGCUAGCUCUGGAAGUUUAAGGAGGACAUUCUGAUACAUAUCAGGCGAGGUUUCUUUCACUAGUGG
This is a long non-coding RNA of Anser brachyrhynchus (Pink-footed goose), 232 nucleotides long. Lineage: Eukaryota; Metazoa; Chordata; Aves; Anseriformes; Anatidae. The record is from Ensembl.